GACGAACGCUGGCGGCGUGCCUAAUACAUGCAAGUUGAGCGCUGAAGGUUGGUACUUGUACCGACUGGAUUAGCAGCGAACGGGUGAGUAACGCGUGGGUAAUCUGCCUUUGAGCGGGGGACAACAUAUGGAAACGAAGGCUAAUACCUCAUAAAAACUUUAAACACAAGUUUUAAGAGGGAAAGAUGCAAUUGCAUCACGCGAAGAUGAUCCCAGGUUGUAUUAGCUAGUUGGUGAGGUAAAGGCUCACCAAGGCGAUGAUACAUAGGCGACCUGAGAGGGUGAUCGGCAACACUGGGACUGGGACAAGGCCACAGACCCGACGCGUGGGAGCAGUAGGGAAGAUUAGGCAAUGGACGAAAGUCUGAGCGUGAACCGGCGAGGGCGUGUAGAAGGUGUUCGGAUCGUAAAACUCUGUUGGUAGAGAAGCACGUUGGUGAGAGUGGACAGGUCACCACGUGACGGUACCUAAUCAGAAAGCGACGGCUAACUCCGUG
RNAcentral lists this ribosomal RNA (497 nucleotides) under uncultured bacterium. RNAcentral describes it as "partial 16S ribosomal RNA". It matches the Rfam family "Bacterial small subunit ribosomal RNA", at positions 28 to 507 of the family's 1533-position model. The record is from RNAcentral.